This 492-nucleotide ribosomal RNA is filed under the name uncultured bacterium. RNAcentral describes it as "partial 16S ribosomal RNA". It matches the Rfam family "Bacterial small subunit ribosomal RNA", at positions 30 to 507 of the family's 1533-position model. The record is from RNAcentral.
AGUGAACGCUGGCGGUAGGCCUAACACAUGCAAGUCGAGCGGCAGCACAGUAAGAGCUCGCGCUUACGGGUGGCGAGGGGCGGGCGAGUGAUAGGUACAUGGGUAUCAACGUUUGCGAGGGGGCGAAAGCGGGGACUAAUACGGUAAUAGCCCAGACGACGUAAGGGGGGAAGCAGGGGACCUUCGGCCCUUGGGCGAGCGAAUGAGGCGUUGUCGGGUUAGCUAGUUGGAGGGGUAAAGGCCCACCAAGGCGACGCUCCGUAGCUGGUCUGAGAGGAUGAUCAGCCACACUGGAACUGAGACACGGUCCAGACUCCUACGGGAGGCAGCAGUGGGGAAUAUUGGACAAAGGGCGCAAGCCUGAUCCAGCCAUGCCGCGUGUGUGAAGAAGGUCUUCGGGUUGUAAAGCCCUUUUAUUGGGAAAGAAAAGCAGUAGGUUAAUACCCCGCUGUUUUGACGUUACCCAAAGAAUAAGCACCGGCUAACUUCGUG